CCUACGGUGUGCAACAGUAGGGAAUCUUCCACAAUGGGCGAAAGCCUGAUGGAGCAACGCCGCGUGGGUGAAGAAGGUCUUCGGAUCGUAAAACCCUGUUGUUAGAGAAGAAAGUGCGUGAGAGUAACUGUUCACGUUUCGACGGUAUCUAACCAGAAAGCCACGGCUAACUACGUGCCAGCAGCCGCGGUAAUACGUAGGUGGCAAGCGUUAUCCGGAUUUAUUGGGCGUAAAGGGAACGCAGGCGGUCUUUUAAGUCUGAUGUGAAAGCCUUCGGCUUAACCGGAGUAGUGCAUUGGAAGCUGGGAGAGUUGAGUGCAGAAGAGGAGAGUGGAACUCCAUGUGUAGCGGUGAAAUGCGUAGAUAUAUGGAAGAACACCAGUGGCGAAAGCGGCUGUUUGGUCUGUCACGGACGCUGGUGUGUGAUAGAGUG
Molecule: ribosomal RNA, 433 nt
Filed under: uncultured bacterium
Lineage: Bacteria
Description: partial 16S ribosomal RNA
Rfam family: Bacterial small subunit ribosomal RNA
Source: RNAcentral